AUUGAACGCUGGCGGCAGGCCUAACACAUGCAAGUCGAGCGGAUGAAUCGAGCUUGCUCCUGGAUUCAGCGGCGGACGGGUGAGUAAUGCCUAUGAAUCUGCCUGGUAGUGGGGGAUAACGUCCGGAUACGGGCUCUUAUACCGCAUACGUCCUGAUGUCGAAAGUGGGUGAUCUUCGGACCUCACGCUUUCUUAUGAGCCUAGGUCGGAUUAGCUAGUUGGUGGGGUAAAGGCCUAACAAGGCUACUAUGCGUAACUGGUCUGAAGGGAUGAUCAGUUACACUGGAACAGAGACAGGGUCCACACACCUACGGGGGGAAACAGCGGGGAAUAUUGGAGGAAGGAGGAAAGGGUAAUACAGGAAAGCGGGGUGAGGGAAGAAGGACUUCUGAUUGUAAAGCGAUUUAAGUUGGAAGGAAGGGAAGUAAGUUAACACCUUGCUGUAAUGACGUUACCAAGAGAAUAAGCACCGGCUAACUUCGUG
This 484-nucleotide ribosomal RNA is filed under the name uncultured bacterium. RNAcentral describes it as "partial 16S ribosomal RNA". It matches the Rfam family "Bacterial small subunit ribosomal RNA", at positions 30 to 507 of the family's 1533-position model. The record is from RNAcentral.